UGGAAACGGUUACCGACUCGGCAAUGC
This 27-nucleotide small RNA is filed under the name Bombyx mori (domestic silkworm). RNAcentral's name for it is "piRNA piR-bmo-1887151". Lineage: Eukaryota; Metazoa; Arthropoda; Insecta; Lepidoptera; Bombycidae. The record is from RNAcentral.